Molecule: long non-coding RNA, 1695 nt
Filed under: Nicotiana tabacum (common tobacco)
Lineage: Eukaryota; Viridiplantae; Streptophyta; Magnoliopsida; Solanales; Solanaceae
Description: long non-coding RNA (NTAB_LNC013003)
Source: RNAcentral
UCCUAAUUCAAACCAUUUGCGUACUAAAAUUAGACUAUCAUGACAAUUAGAAGUAUAUUGGCCUAAUUCUAGCUUGACACGCAUCUUUACAAACAAACUGAGAUAAGUAGGGUGCUCUUUAGCAUCCUAUCCUUCUUUUAACUAAGGGCCUACAUAGGGAGCUCAUAAACUAAAUGACUGCGUAUGUGAAAACUAUCCAGUUAUACAGCUCCUUGACAGGAGUCUACAUAUCAGUGAUACAUAAAAUGGCUUUAGUACAAUCAGUAAAGAAAACUAAAUUCAGUUUAUAACUUCAAGUUCUUCAUAUGUAUAUUCAUGCUUCAAAUGUCAACUUCAACAUGGAAUUACAUCAGCUUAGUAUGUGUACCUGGAUUUAGACAACAAGAACCAGAAGAAGAAAAGAAUAUCAGCAGCAAGCAGCCAGUCAGUAAUAACGACAACAACAAACGAACGGACAGCAGUAACACAGCAGCAACCACAAAUAGCCCAACAGUAGCAACCCAACAGGGAAACCAGAAUACCCCACUGAAAUAGUAACAACCCAACUACACAACAGACUUGACAGAAAAUAGCUUGACAAUCAAACAAUCGGACUUAGCAAAACGGCUUGAACAAAAAAAAACCAACUGUAUCCAACCAAACAGCUGACCAACCCCCCCUUUUUUGCCUUUUAGGAUUAUUAGAUUUUCUUCUCUCAAUUGCCAACCCCUUAUCAGUAAAAAAUGAGCUCAUUUAUAGGCCCAAAAGACCUUUACAGGACUGCCUCGUAUCCAAACUUCCUCCCCAUACCCUUCAACUUCCCACGCCUAAGUAUCUUAUUGAUGCAAGUCAUUUGGUUCCCCACUAUAGCAUGCUUGUCAUAUUGAUUCAUUCAAGAGUCAUGGACUUUUAUUAGAUUAUUUAUUUUGACCCAUGUUCUUGUUUUGUGCACCCCAUUAAUACUAGAUUAAUAGUAUUUUUCAUUAACCAAUUGACAGCCCAUUAAUCCUAAGCAUUUGUCAGUCUUUGACACCUCAAAUUAUCCCUCAAACCACUGAUUAUUACUACCUUACCCCACCCCCUUCACAUUGCUGAGUCUGUUAACUAUAACCAUUUUAAUCUUAAUCCGAACCUCACCAACUAACAAACUACAACCUAUAAUUAGUUUACCACUGGAUUUAGACAAACAUUUAAUCAAAAUCAGGCAGUAUGAAUCAAGUCGUUGCCUUCCAAGACUGUAAAACACAAACGACAACAUGUAUCGAAUCGACUUUGCGAGUUACAACGUAUACUAAUCAGUCGACAACAAAAGCAGGCUAAAACAGAGCACACGGGUGAUUCAUGUGUUUUUGGACGAAACAUGGAACUUAUGAAACUUAAUUAUUCGACGACGUUACUCAAAUCGACUAUACAGACUAUUACGUGUAACAAACAAUCGACAAACAACAUAGACUAAGCAGACCACCAAAUUAUUUCAAUAUUCGGGACAUUUAGCAGGGAGUUUACGAAACUUAACUAUUCGACGACAUUAGUCGAAACGAAUAGAUAUCUCAUAACAUACACUUAACACUGAAUAGAAGAGAAAUCGACCACAUAAAAGUGUCUUUGAAGAUGGAGAGGAUUGACAGAAAAAUAAUCAAAAAUCAAAAACAAAUCUACUGACAUACGAAUAACACAUAAACAGAAAGAAAGAAAAGAAAAUUACCUCGGAAGCUU